ACGGGGCGCACAGGCGGAAAACUUUACAAUGCUGGCAACACGAUAAGGGAACCUCGAGUGCUAGGUUACAAAUCUGGCUGUCGAGAUGCCUAAAAAGCAUUUCAUAGCAAGGGCCGGGCAAGACCGGUGCCAGCCGCCGCGGUAACACCGGCGGCUCGAGUGGUAACCGUUAUUAUUGGGUCUAAAGGGUCUGUAGCCGGCCGGAUAAGUCUCUUGAGAAAUCUGGCAGCUUAACUGUCAGGCUUUCAGGAGAUACUGUCUGGCUCGAGGCCGGGAGAGGUGAGAGGUACUUCAGGGGUAGGGGUGAAAUCUUGUAAUCCUUGAAGGACCACCAGUGGCGAAGGCGUCUCACCAGAACGGACCUGACGGCAAGGGACGAAAGCUAGGGGCACGAACCGGAUUAGAUACCCGGGUAGUCCUAGCCGUAAACGAUACUCGCUAGGUGUCGGCCACGGUGCGACCGUUGUCGGUGCCGUAGGGAAGCCGUGAAGCGAGCCACCUGGGAAGUACGGCCGCAAGGCUGAAACUUAAAGGAAUUGGCGGGGGAGCACCACAACGGGUGGAGCUUGCGGUUUAAUUGGAUUCAACGCCGGAAAUCUUACCGGGACCGACAGCAAUAUGAAGGCCAGGCUGAAGACUUUGCCGGAUUAGCUGAGAGGUGGUGCAUGGCCGUCGUCAGUUCGUACUGUGAAGCAUCCUGUUAAGUCAGGCAACGAGCGAGACCCACGCCCACAGUUGCCAGCGUACUCUCCGGAGUGACGGGUACACUGUGGGGACCGCCGCUGCUAAAGCGGAGGAAGGAAUGGGCAACGAUAGGUCAGUAUGCCCCGAAUAUCCCGGGCUACACGCGAGCUACAAUGGUUGGUACAAUGGGUAUCUACCCCGAAAGGGGACGGAAAUCUCCUAAAACCAAUCUUAGUUCGGAUUGAGGGCUGCAACUCGCCCUCAUGAAGCUGGAAUCCGUAGUAAUCGCGUUUCAACAGAACGCGGUGAAUACGUCCCUGCUCCUUGUACACACCGCCCGUCA
Molecule: ribosomal RNA, 1027 nt
Filed under: uncultured Methanosarcina sp.
Lineage: Archaea; Methanobacteriati; Methanobacteriota; Methanomicrobia; Methanosarcinales; Methanosarcinaceae
Description: bacterial SSU rRNA
Rfam family: Archaeal small subunit ribosomal RNA
Source: RNAcentral